RNAcentral lists this ribosomal RNA (587 nucleotides) under uncultured fungus. RNAcentral describes it as "eukaryotic LSU rRNA". The stretch from base 241 to 394 matches the Rfam family "5.8S ribosomal RNA". The record is from RNAcentral. Lineage: Eukaryota; Fungi.
AGUCGUAACAAGGUCUCCGUUGGUGAACCAAGCGGGGGGNAUCAUUACAGAGUUGCAAAACUCCCCACAAACCAUCGNGAAUCUUAACCCGUACGGUUGCCUCGGCGCUGNCGGUCNGGAAGGCCCUCGGGCCCCCCCNGGAUCCUCGGGUCUCCCGCUCGCGGGAGGCUGCCCGCCGGAGUGCCGAAACCAAACUCUUGAUAUUUUAUGUCUCUCUGAGUAAACUUUUAAAUAAGUCAAAACUUUCAACAACGGAUCUCUUGGUUCUGGCAUCGAUGAAGAACGCAGCGAAAUGCGAUAAGUAAUGUGAAUUGCAGAAUUCAGUGAAUCAUCGAAUCUUUGAACGCACAUUGCGCUCGCCAGUAUUCUGGCGAGCAUGCCUGUCCGAGCGUCAUUUCAACAAUCAAGCUCUGCUUGCGUUGGGGAUCCGCGGCUGCCCGCGGUCCCUCAAAAACAGUGGCGGGCUCGCUAGUCACACCGAGCGUAGUAACUCUACAUCGCUAUGGUCGUGCGGCGGGUUCUUGCCGUAAAACCCCCCAAUUUNUAAGGUUGACCUCGGAUCAGGUAGGAAUACCCGCUGAACUUAA